ACGGGAGGCAGCAGUGGGGAAUAUUGCACAAUGGGGGAAACCCUGAUGCAGCGACGCCGCGUGAGUGAAGAAGUAUUUCGGUAUGUAAAGCUCUAUCAGCAGGAAAGAAAAUGACGGUACCUGACUAAGAAGCCCCGGCUAACUACGUGCCAGCAGCCGCGGUAAUACGUAGGGGGCAAGCGUUAUCCGGAUUUACUGGGUGUAAAGGGAGCGUAGACGGCUUUGCAAGUCUGAAGUGAAAGCCCGGGGCUCAACCCCGGAACUGCUUUGGAAACUGUAGAGCUAGAGUGCAGGAGAGGUAAGUGGAAUUCCUAGUGUAGCGGUGAAAUGCGUAGAUAUUGGGAGGAACACCGGUGGCGAAGGCGGCUUGCUGGACUGUAACUGACGUUGAGGCUCGAAAGCGUGGGGAGCAAACAGGAUUAGAUACCCUGGUA
Molecule: ribosomal RNA, 434 nt
Filed under: uncultured Clostridium sp.
Lineage: Bacteria; Bacillati; Bacillota; Clostridia; Eubacteriales; Clostridiaceae
Description: partial 16S ribosomal RNA
Rfam family: Bacterial small subunit ribosomal RNA
Source: RNAcentral